RNAcentral lists this ribosomal RNA (723 nucleotides) under Triticum aestivum (bread wheat). RNAcentral's name for it is "partial small subunit ribosomal RNA". The record is from RNAcentral. Lineage: Eukaryota; Viridiplantae; Streptophyta; Magnoliopsida; Poales; Poaceae.
AUGGAGCAGGAACAAGUGCUGGUGGUGCCUCAGGUGUCCGGUAACAGCUGCUGCACCUGUAGCAACACGAGCUCCGGCUCCCUGAACGCGUCGUCUCCGAGCUCCGACGACAGCAGCGCUGUCGCCGCGGGCAAGAAGCGGCCGCGCAGGGACCUGAAGCACCCGACGUACCGCGGCGUGCGCAUGCGCACCUGGGGCAAGUGGGUGUCCGAGAUCAGGGAGCCCCGCAAGAAGUCCCGCAUCUGGCUCGGCACCUUCGACACCGCCGAGAUGGCCGCGCGCGCGCACGACGUCGCCGCCAUCGCCAUCAAGGGCCGCGCCGCGCACCUCAACUUCCCGGGCCUCGCGCACGAGCUGCCCCGCGCGGCCUCGGCCGCGCCCAAGGACGUCCAGGCCGCCGCCGCGCUCGCCGCGGCCACGCCGUCGCCCGUCGACGCGCUCUCGCCCGACACCAUUGCUGCGAAGGAGCAGGAGGAGGAGAUUGAGGAGGUUUCGGAGCCGGCAGCCCCCGAGCAGGCACCAUCGCCGGAUUGUCUGUUGAUCGAGAAUGCAGGACCCGAAUAUGGCGGCAUUGGGCUCGACUACGCGUUUCUCGACGUGCCGGACUUCCUCCUUGAGUUCGGGCUCGCGUCGCCGGAACCGCCGUCCUACUGCGGUUCGCCGUGGGAUGACCUCGACGACAAUCUCUUCUUCGGGGAACCGUUGCUGCUCUGGGAGCACUGA